RNAcentral lists this ribosomal RNA (253 nucleotides) under uncultured bacterium. RNAcentral describes it as "partial 16S ribosomal RNA". It matches the Rfam family "Bacterial small subunit ribosomal RNA", at positions 524 to 776 of the family's 1533-position model. The record is from RNAcentral.
UACGGGGGGAGCAAGCGUUGUUCGGAUUUACUGGGCGUAAAGGGCGCGUAGGCGGCGUGACAAGUCACUUGUGAAAUCUCCGGGCUUAACCCGGAACGGUCAAGUGAUACUGUCGUGCUAGAGUGCGGAAGGGGCUACUGGAAUUCUCGGUGUAGCGGUGAAAUGCGUAGAUAUCGAGAGGAACACCUGCGGCGAAGGCGGGUAGCUGGGCCGACACUGACGCUGAUGCGCGAAAGCCAGGGGAGCGAACGGG